This is a non-coding RNA of Paramuricea clavata, 874 nucleotides long. The record is from the annotation of a GenBank genome assembly. NCBI's taxonomy places the organism in Eukaryota, Metazoa, Cnidaria, Anthozoa, Malacalcyonacea, Plexauridae.
AAAACCACCUUAUCUCACAAGGUUCUUUCUUCUCAAGUAUCAUAAAAAACUCCACGUCAUUAUUCAAUUCCUUAUGGUCUUCCGUUCAAUCCAGACUUCCUAAGAAUAUAUUUAAUUUCACUGUCCGUUAUAUCAACAACUCCCUCCCUACUCGGAAAAACCUGGUCAAAUGGGGUCUGUCAUCGUCUGCCGAUUGUUCCUUUUGCUCCUCUCCUGAGUUACUCCUGCACGUCAUCUCUGGUUGUAAAGCAUAUCUAGAUGAAGGGCCAUUUACGUGGCGGCAUAAUUCAGUCCUGGACUUCAUUGCAUCCAGCCUUAUGAGUGCCGAGCGAUCCAAACUCUACGUAGAUUUGCCUGGCUAUAUUACUCCGUCAGUUAUCACUGGUGAUCAGUUACGUCCAGACCUUCUCUUGGCAAUUGAAAAUAAAGUUUUAUAUGUUUUCGGGAACUGACUGUUGGCUUUGAAACAAAUCUUAACUCUAACUCAGAUCGAAAACAUAAAAAAUAUCCGCCGCUUAUUUCAGAUCAAGAAAAUAACUAUGAUAAGGUAAAAUUUGUUAAUGUAUCCAUAAGCUUGCUAGGCGUUUUUGGUCAAUCGACGAACACCUUAACUGAUAUAUGCUCAAGGAACUGAAGUUCGAUGAACAACAAAUUAAAUACAUUAAAAAGAAAAGCAUUGCUAUCUGUAUUCGCACAUCAUAUUAUGUAUUCUGUCAGCGAAACAAAGACUGGACUAGCCCAGAGCUUCUAAAAUUUUGAACAAUAUUAAAUUCCUUAUUUUUGUAAAUUUAUAUAAUCCAAAUAUUUUUCAAGUAGUCAUCGAUAAACUACCUCUAUGAGCGAGGUUUAUCAAUGUAAAUAUAGUUUUAUGGUA